Long non-coding RNA from Equus quagga, 5753 nucleotides. RefSeq lists it as uncharacterized. The transcript has 3 exons. NCBI's taxonomy places the organism in Eukaryota, Metazoa, Chordata, Mammalia, Perissodactyla, Equidae. The record is from RefSeq and is a predicted model, not a curated record.
ACCAAGUAAAGCUCGGGCAAUUGUCUAGCACAGUGCCUGAUGCAAAGUCAAUGCUCAAUAAGUUAUUAUUAUUACUAGUAUUGAAGUGAAAAUGUACACUUCCUCCUACUUGUAAUUUUAAGUGACAAUAUAGUGUUGUCCCUUCUUCCAGGCUUUAUAUUUUUAUAGAGGUUUGAUUCGGGAGAAGGGAAAGCUCAUAAAGCAAUUUGCUUCAAUCGUGUAUUGUGAUAGUAACUUCCACUAACUAAUUACAUGUCAUUUUGAAAGUAUUUCCUCAAAUUUGUUUUGAAUAUAUAAUAUUGCCUUUGAAUUUCUUUAACUUCCCCCUUAUACUUUUACAAAAUGAGAGGCUGUGUUCUUUGUUCUAUACCACUAGUUAUUUCACAACCAAACAUGGUAACUUUUUAGAGGGAAGAGAUUAUUAUUUUCUCUGGGCAGCUAGCUGAAAAUCUCCUCACAAAAAAAGUGAAGUCUGGGGGCAAGAAUCAAUUAAAUAACAAAACAAAUCGCAUUCUUUUUGCUAUGUGGGGGACAAAAUCAUAUAUAUUUGCAGAUAUAUAAAAAUCUUAAGAAACAGUUAUGUUUUAAUUUCUGCUGUUUUGGGAAGUAAAUUUGGAUGUUUGAAAUGAAAGUUGUUUUCCCUUUAAAACUAAUGUGAUUAUCACUAGGUAGAAAGAAUAUCUCUGAUCUAAACCUCUCUCCUGAGCACCAGAUGUCCUCUUCCACAAAUGACCCUGGGCCCACUAUAUGCGGAUGCACAUGGAGCUGAACCAUAUCUAUAUAUAUAUGGUGAUUAUACAAUCUCCUCCCCUGCCCUCUUCCUCUGCACACUCUAGACCUCGCUUAGUUCAACCUCCCUGGCAUCCAUACUACAAACCGAGGAGUCAUCUUUGAGUCUUCUCUUUCUUCCUCCAAUUUGGGUCACUUAUCAAGUUCUGCCUGAUUUAACCUUGUAAUUAUGCCUCUGACAAGUCCCCUGCUUCCUUUCUUAUUCCCACUGCUUUCGGUUAGGCCUUCCUCAUCUUGCUCUCCAGCUCCCUUGCUGCCGCAGCCUCUUAACUGUAAGGCUCUGCCGUUAUCAUCCCCUGCAGAUCCUUUCCCUGAGUGACUUAUCUAAAAAGCAGAUCUGAACAUGCCACUCACCUUUAAUGGCUUCCCUUUACUUACCAGAUAAAAAUCUAAGCUCUUCAUCACAGCAUUCAAAGCCUCUGUACCUCUCUCCACUUCCUGUCCUGACUUCACAUUCCAGCCACACUUCAUUCAUUCAUUGACAAGUGCUAGCCACUGUCCUAGGCACUUGACAUACCUUGGGGAACAAAAGUAAGAUCUCCGCCCUCGUGGAGCUCAUAUGGAAGGGGGUGGGUGGUGUCAGUAAACAAUAAACUUAAUAAAAAAGCAUAUUUUAUAGGAUCUGGGGAGAGUGUAGUUUUAGAUAGGCUGGUCAAGGUUGGCUUUAUUGAAAAGGUGACGUUUGAGCAAAGACAUGAAAGGAGGUGAGAGAGUGAGCUACGUGGAUAAACAGCGGAAGAAAAUCCAGGCAGAGGGAACAGCCAGUGCAAAGCCCUAAGAUGGGAGUGUGCUUAGCACAUCAAAGAGAGGAGAGAACAGAGGGAGUAUUAGGAGAUGGGAGUGUACUUUUGGACAAAUUCUCAUCAGCCAUUGUAGUAAGCUGGGGGCUUACUUUGCGUUAAAUGGGAAGCCAGCUACCUGUGGUCACUCCCACAAGCUGUGGUGUUGAGACCUAUGUCUCUAAGCACAUGCUCCCUUCUGUUUGGAUUGUACCCUCUCUCCUGCUGAGUUGCUCCCAUAAUUCCUUUUGCCAUAUUACUUAUGGCACUUAGGUCUUGAGGAAGGGUUUGGGUUUAUUCAUCUUUGUGUCCACAGGGCUCACAGCAGGGGCACAAGCAUUCAAUGAAUGAAUGAUAAUGUUCGUUUAUAGAUUGCCUUCCAAUGUCGAGUGUUUUAUAUGUUUAUAAAUUCUUGAAACAACCCUACACAGUGGGCUUCAUUAUACCUAUCUUACAGAAGAGGAAAUGAGGUUCAAAGAGGUUUGGUAACUUAUGGGAAGUCACACAACUGGUAAGUAUCUGAGCUGGGUUUCAAACUCAGGUGUCUGGCCAAUUGCUACACUGCAUUCUUUUCCCUCCUGAGGCUUCCUCACUAGAUUAAAUGAAGGAAAUGCAGGGAAUUUAUCUCUGGUUUUGUUUCUUGCACUUGGCUUCCCUAAGCCUAAAAAAAACCCCAUACAUCAUUUCUACUGUCUAUAUAUGAAUUCAUUAAAUGUUUAAUAAAUACCUAUUGUGUGCCAGGUACUUGGAAUAUAAUACUGGACAAAACAGAUGUAGUCCCUUCCUUUGUGCAGUUUACACCAGAGCAGGGGAGACGCACGAUUGUAUAAGCAAGGGCAGUAAUCUGCAGCCAGUGCUCUGAUGCAGGAAUGACAAAGUGCCACUGAGGGAAUGCUAGCAGCUACUCCUGACCCAGCCACCCAGGCUGGAGAAAACUAUAGGAUGAGAGCAUACUUCCUGGAAUAAAAGAGUCCCCUAUAGACUUGUAUAAGGUACUAAGUAUUAUAUAAAAAUCUAAAGAAUCUUGCUUUAUUCAUUUUUUUCAACUUUGGCUAAUGUCAAUGCCCUUUUCCCAAAUUUGAUUACAAACAAUGUAUAAAGCCUAAAGCAUAAACUUUUUAACUGUUGUUUUAUACUUUUCAUUGUAUAAGUUAUUUGAUCCAUACAUUUGUAAAGACGUAAUGCAGUGGGUGUUUUAGUAGUUAAUAAAUUCCCAAACUAUGAAAUCUGAGGGCUUAUUCAAAUUGUUUUGUUCCACCGGAAUUUGGUGGUAUAUUGCAUCAUUGGCUAGAGUUUGGUAACUCGUUACAGAAUGCAAAUUUUUUUAUUAUGUCAGUAGGAAUGAAAUUUAAUAUUCACUCUCUUUUAAUUACUAUUCGGUGGAAGAAAUAAUCCAGGAAACCAUGAAAGGUGGUGUGACUGAGACAGGAAGAAGCCAGGCUGGAAAAACAGAGCCCCAUAUUCAGAAAGUAGCAUUUUCGUGCUUUCUAACUGGUGGAAAAUUAAUAGGUUGUUCUCUCCAGAUUUCCCCCUGUUUUUCAAGUGGGGAUAUUGUAUUUGUUGUAAUAACUCUAAUAUAUGACUUGAUUUUCAAAAUUAAAAAUUGAAGGAUGAAAAUAGUUACUCGGACAACUUGAAACUGGUGGUGGUGGCAACCAGGCAGUUGUUUUUAAUAAGAAAAUGAUGGGGAGGAUCAAAGACGAGCAGGGAUCAGGAUGUGGGAGUGAGUUCUCUUUAUUGUAAACUGCUUCGGAGGGAGGUGAGAGAUGGAGAUUAGAGAUGAUGAAGACCUUUUCUUUGGGCUUCUCUGAUCUAGCCAUGGAUGAUGAGAGUCCCUCUGGAUGAGCGUCAAAGAAAAGACAUGGUUAAAUGGGUAAUAAAAGAAAAAGCAAUAGCCCAUAAAUACUAAGUGUUUUAAGUUGAAAAUUUUCUCUCAAAAAAAGCUUAGCUAUUGCAGUUAUUGGCCACAGCUUGUAAAACACAAGUUUCCCCCUCAUGGAGCAGGUCCGGCAAGUCUCGGUUGUAGAGUUAGAAAUAUUGUGAGAAUCCUGAGAGUCCUGGCAAAUAUAUGCUUUGAGGCUCUAGAUCGUGCCCCAGAGGAGGAGAAAAUAUGCUGAAAAAAAUAGCCAUAAAGUACUUUUUAUGCUAAGAACAAAAAGACAGGAAAUGUUUGGGGUUUUUUUUUCUCCUAAAUAUUGUUCCAUUUUCUCCAGCUGGUGAAAUAAAAAAGACAGAUAUGUUAUCCUGCACGGUUACACAAAAACUCCACCAGCAGGCCAGUGAGAUGGUGAGAGCUGCUGUCCUUGGAACAGUAUGUGUGGCAUUCCUGCCCUCCCCUCCUACCCCCCCAAAAAACCCCUGUGCAUGUACUAUUUCUCUGAGGCUACCAAAAAUUUUUGACUUAUAACAUAGAAAUUUCUUGGUUAACAGAGUAACAAAAUCACAGAACUGUCAUCAUUACGUAUAAGGAAACCUUCCGUGUUUGCUAACUUCCUUCCAAAACAUUUUUGCCCUAAUUACAUUUUUGUUGGUGGUUUGGAGAGGCCAGGCCAACCCAAGGGAAUGAUUCCAUUCUAAUUGCAUCUUUCCUUUCCCAGGAGGUCUGUGUCCUUUUAUAUCCACCGAACUCACUUGAUUAACUGUUAUCCACUUGUUACUGAGAAAAAAAAACCACCACCCAAACAAGCCCUGCAAAAUUAACUGGAUGUUUUGUUUUUGUGUUUUUCUCCUGCAGAGAUCACAAAGCUUGUGCAAACUUUUGUCAGGCACCGGUUCUUAUCCAGGGCUCUAAGUGUGACAGAGGAAAGCGUGGCGCUGAGGAAGCAUAUGUGAAGACAGGACAAUGUGUGGAGUGCCUUGGAAGUGUGCGUGACUGUUGCUGCUGACAGCCGAGCGGGGAAAGCCACAUUUUGCUUGGUUUGUAUCAGUAGCAUCAUCUACCAUCCCUGUCAUCUUCCAUGGAAAGUGGAAAGGGGAAGUUAGAUUCCCAAGGAGAAUGUGAGUUAUCCCCCUUUUAUGAGUCCAUCAGGGAAAUUCUUUUGAAGACUAAAAGGAUGAGGCUGCAGGGUGUGGGGUGGAAUGGAGGAGGGGCACUUGAGUUAAUCACCAUGGGCCGGAAGUGGUGUUAGAAUUGGACUUCCCUCCAGCUGCCCAGGCUGUUUCAUUAGGCAGAUCUCCCAAAGGAGGGCUCACCAAGCUUGGGGAUAGGUUGGGGGAAGGGGGCAUCUGAGGAAUGGGGAGGAGGUGAUAGGAGUUAGUAGGGGAAAUUGGACAGUAGGUCUAUAGUGCUCUUCCCUCUAGCUGGACCAGCUUCUCCAGGGCUCCCUCCCUCCACUUUGCUUUGUUCAAUGCCCACCCUGUUUAAAAUGGCAACGUCCCCCACUGCGUAUUCUACCUGACACACGAUAUGUUAGCUGCGUAGCUCACCCCACCUCCUCCACUCAGUAAGCUCCAAGGGGACAGCAAUUUUUGUCUGCUGUGUUCUCUGCUUUCUUUCUGGUUCCUAAGGCAGGGCCUAGCACAACCGGGCUGCUGCCAAUAAAUUCUUGUUGACUGAAGGAGUCCUCAUACCGACCUUAUUUAAUUCUUCCACGCAGCCCCGAAAUUAAUCGAACAAUCCUUGUACCAGAACAUUUUAAAUGCAUCAUCUCCUAUCAUUCUCGCAACAGCUCUCUGAGGUUGGUGUUGUUAUAAUUACCAUUUUACAAAUAGAGAAACUGUGAGGUUCCCUAACUUGCUCAGGCUCCCGCAGCAGCUGAUAAAUGGUAGCGCUGAGGACAGAGUCCACACAGUCUGGGUCCAGGGCCUGAGUUCCAACCCUCUUUGGCCCCGAAGGCCCAUCGCAGCAACAGAUGGAGCAGGCCUGGACCCUGAAAGGUCUGAAGGUUGAGAGGAGGCCAGAGGCUGCUGCCCUCGAAGCAUCCCCUCAUCGCUUCCGUGGCCGUCAGGUGUGUCGCGGGCCAUAGAGGAGCUGCUCCGAAGCCAGCGCGGGCCUGGCAUGGGACCAUCAGCCUGCCCAGGUGGUUAAGCAGAGAAACCUCUUCUCAAACGCCCUCCCUCCAAAGUCCCUGCUGGUGCCCAACUCUAAUUUUCCGGGUAGGAAUAAGCAGCGGCCAGUGGGACGUAGGUGAGCCACCAAAAGCCCGACAGACCGAGCCGGGACGGGCAGGGGUUUCCCCAGCUCGG